GAUGAACGCUGGCGGCGUGCCUAAUACAUGCAAGUCGAGCGAACGGACGAGAAGCUUGCUUCUCUGAUGUUAGCGGCGGACGGGUGAGUAACACGUGGAUAACCUACCUAUAAGACUGGGAUAACUUCGGGAAACCGGAGCUAAUACCGGAUAAUAUUUUGAACCGCAUGGUUCAAAAGUGAAAGACGGUCUUGCUGCCACUUAUAGAUGGAUCCGCGCUGCAUUAGCUAGUUGGUAAGGUAACGGCUUACCAAGGCAACGAUGCAUAGCCGACCUGAGAGGGUGAUCGGCCACACUGGAACUGAGACACGGUCCAGACUCCUACGGGAGGCAGCAGUAGGGAAUCUUCCGCAAUGGGCGAAAGCCUGACGGAGCAACGCCGCGUGAGUGAUGAAGGUCUUCGGAUCGUAAAACUCUGUUAUUAGGGAAGAACAUAUGUGUAAGUAACUGUGCACAUCUUGACGGUACCUAAUCAGAAAGCCACGGCUAACUACGUGCCAGCAGCCGCGGUAAUACGUAGGUGGCAAGCGUUAUCCGGAAUUAUUGGGCGUAAAGCGCGCGUAGGCGGUUUUUUAGUCUGAUGUGAAAGCCCACGGCUCAACCGUGGAGGGUCAUUGGAAACUGGAAAACUUGAGUGCAGAAGAGGAAAGUGGAAUUCCAUGUGUAGCGGUGAAAUGCGCAGAGAUAUGGAGGAACACCAGUGGCGAAGGCGACUUUCUGGUCUGUAACUGACGCUGAUGUGCGAAAGCGUGGGGAUCAAACAGGAUUAGAUACCCUGGUAGUCCACGCCGUAAACGAUGAGUGCUAAGUGUUAGGGGGUUUCCGCCCCUUAGUGCUGCAGCUAACGCAUUAAGCACUCCGCCUGGGGAGUACGACCGCAAGGUUGAAACUCAAAGGAAUUGGCGGGGACCCGCACAAGCGGUGGAGCAUGUGGUUUAAUUCGAAGCAACGCGAAGAACCUUACCAAAUCUUGACAUCCUUUGACAACUCUAGAGAUAGAGCCUUCCCCUUCGGGGGACAAAGUGACAGGUGGUGCAUGGUUGUCGUCAGCUCGUGUCGUGAGAUGUUGGGUUAAGUCCCGCAACGAGCGCAACCCUUAAGCUUAGUUGCCAUCAUUAAGUUGGGCACUCUAAGUUGACUGCCGGUGACAAACCGGAGGAAGGUGGGGAUGACGUCAAAUCAUCAUGCCCCUUAUGAUUUGGGCUACACACGUGCUACAAUGGACAAUACAAAGGGCAGCGAAACCGCGAGGUCAAGCAAAUCCCAUAAAGUUGUUCUCAGUUCGGAUUGUAGUCUGCAACUCGACUACAUGAAGCUGGAAUCGCUAGUAAUCGUAGAUCAGCAUGCUACGGUGAAUACGUUCCCGGGUCU
RNAcentral lists this ribosomal RNA (1371 nucleotides) under uncultured bacterium. RNAcentral describes it as "bacterial SSU rRNA". It matches the Rfam family "Bacterial small subunit ribosomal RNA", at positions 28 to 1381 of the family's 1533-position model. The record is from RNAcentral.